UACAGCUGGAUGCCCUUCCUAACGCCAACCACUCCGAGAGUGUAGUGGGUGAUUUUAUGUGCCACCGACACAGGUGCCAGACGAGGCUGGCAGGCACAAUUCCUGGCAAGGUUAUUUUUGGAAGACUAGCAGUUACUCAUGCAUACCAGCCUCCCCUCUCCAUGCCACUGAUGUUAUCCAAGGGAAAGGCAAAGGCCAAUACAGCUUGGCAUCAGUGAUGUCACAACUCAUUUCUACAGCUGAGUGAACUGUAGCAAUGUGAAAUAAAGUGUCUUGCUCAAGAACACAACACAGUCCUGUCCAAGAAUCAAACUCACUACCUCAUGAUUGUGACCCCGAUGCUCUAACCACUUUACAAGUAUAUACAGUUCAUAUUCUAUUUAGAAAGUCCAUGUUUUUCACCUAUCUCUUAACUCCAGAGACUGGUUGGGGAAGGGAAGAAAAAAAAGGAAGAAGUCACAACUUGUCAAGUACCAAAAAUAUUUGGUUUUUGAUAACCCAUUUUCACAAUGUUCUGCUAAGUGGUUUUUGAACCUGGAGCCACAUGAUUUUGAAAAAAACUUUCACCAAAUGUCCAUACCUGCUCUCACUUGUUUAAGCCCAAGAACUGUGACUAUCACAUCUCUUAAGAUGUAUACAGAUGGGAGGAAAAAAUUGUGAUAUAUAGUUUGAUCAUAAAUUACAUGAAAUAUUUAAUGUAAACCUGUAUGAAUACAGUAUAUGAAAUUUAGUUUGAAUUACCUAGAAAUGUCAGAGUAAAUUAACACAAGCUAUGCUCAGUGAUUCCCAAUCUUUCUCACUUCAUGGCAUACUGAGCAUGAAAUAAGACCUAUUAAGAAACUGUUAUACAGUAAUGAAUUUAGUUUAAUAUAUUAACUUUUAUUUGUCAGUUAUCUAGCUUAAUAUUUCGUCUUUGUAGAAUAAAAGUUUUAUAUUUUAGGAUGAGUGGAGAGGCAGUAAGGGAAGUUAUGAUGUUUAAGCUUUUCCAGAGGGCAUUAGUAAUGUAAAGACUAUGAGAGUUUCAAAGAUUUAAUUCAGAUGUUGCUUGCCUUUCGUUUUAUGAUAGUUGUUAAUAUAAGCUAAGUUGGUAAUGAUUUUAUUAGGAAAUAAUAUCGUUACAUAUCUGGGCAAAUGAUAAACACAAAGACAGAGUUAUCAAAGAAAGAAUAGGCUUUUUAUACCAAAUUUAUUCAGUAAAUGAGCAAGUACAUAGCACUUGAUACGAGGUUUGUUGAAGUCCAGGCUGAAAUGAUAUUGUUGGCAACUGAGCCAGCACAUAAGAUCUAUACAGAAUUUUAAGACAACUGGACACAAAAAAAGAAAAAAAUGAUGUAAACAUUGAAUGGGGA
Long non-coding RNA from Octopus sinensis (East Asian common octopus), 1349 nucleotides. RefSeq lists it as uncharacterized. NCBI's taxonomy places the organism in Eukaryota, Metazoa, Mollusca, Cephalopoda, Octopoda, Octopodidae. The transcript has 2 exons. The record is from RefSeq and is a predicted model, not a curated record.